RNAcentral lists this ribosomal RNA (440 nucleotides) under uncultured bacterium. Its description in RNAcentral is "partial 16S ribosomal RNA". It matches the Rfam family "Bacterial small subunit ribosomal RNA", at positions 338 to 795 of the family's 1533-position model. The record is from RNAcentral.
CCUACGGGCGGCAGCAGUGGGGGAUAUUGCACAAUGGGGGGAACCCUGAUGCAGCGACGCCGCGUGGGUGAAGGAGCGUUUCGGCGCGUAAAGCCCUAUCGGCAGGGAAGAAGAUGACGGUACCUGGCCAAGAAGCCCCGGCUAACUACGUGCCAGCAGCCGCGGUAAUACGUAGGGGGCAAGCGUUAUCCGGAUUUACUGGGGGUAAAGGGGGCGCAGACGGCAAUGCAAGCCAGUAGUGAAAGCCCGGGGCCCAACCCCGGGACUGCUCUUGGAACUGCAUGGCUGGAGUACAGGAGGGGCAGGCGGAAUUCCUGGUGUAGCGGUGAAAUGCGUAGAUAUUAGGAGGAACACCGGUGGCGAAGGCGGCCUGCUGGACUGUGACUGACGUUGAGGCCCGAAGGCGUGGGGAGCAAACAGGAUUAGAUACCCCGGUAGUC